AGAGUUUGAUCAUGGCUCAGGAUGAACGCUAGCUACAGGCUUAACACAUGCAAGUCGAGGGGAAACGAUAUUGGAAGCUUGCUUCCGAUGGGCGUCGACCGGCGCACGGGUGAGUAACGCGUAUCCAACCUGCCCACCACUUGGGGAUAACCUUGCGAAAGUAAGACUAAUACCCAAUGAUAUCUCUAGAAGACAUCUGAAAGAGAUUAAAGAUUUAUCGGUGAUGGAUGGGGAUGCGUCUGAUUAGCUUGGUUGGCGGGGUAACGGCCCACCAAGGCGACGAUCGAGUAGGGGUUCUGAGAGGAAGGUCCCCCANAUUGGAACUGAGACACGGUCCAAACGUCCUACGGGAGGCA
RNAcentral lists this ribosomal RNA (356 nucleotides) under uncultured bacterium. RNAcentral describes it as "bacterial SSU rRNA". It matches the Rfam family "Bacterial small subunit ribosomal RNA", at positions 8 to 350 of the family's 1533-position model. The record is from RNAcentral.